GAUGAACGCUGGCGGCGUGCCUAAUACAUGCAAGUCGAGCGAACGGACGAGAAGCUUGCUUCUCUGAUGUUAGCGGCGGACGGGUGAGUAACACGUGGAUAACCUACCUAUAAGACUGGGAUAACUUCGAGAAACCGGAGCUAAUACCGGAUAAUAUUUUGAACCGCAUGGUUCAAAAGUGAAAGACGGUCUUGCUGUCACUUAUAGAUGGAUCCGCGCUGCAUUAGCUAGUUGGUAAGGUAACGGCUUACCAAGGCAACGAUGCAUAGCCGACCUGAGAGGGUGAUCGCCCACACUGGAACUGAGACACGGUCCAGACUCCUACGGGAGGCAGCAGUAGGGAAUCUUCCGCAAUGGGCGAAAGCCUGACGGAGCAACGCCGCGGGAGUGAUGAAGGUCUUCGGAUCGUAAACCUCUUUUAUGAGGGAAAAAAAAAUGUGUAAGUAACUGUGCACUUCUUGACGGUACCUAAUCAGAAAGCCACGGCUAACUACGUG
RNAcentral lists this ribosomal RNA (497 nucleotides) under uncultured bacterium. RNAcentral's name for it is "partial 16S ribosomal RNA". It matches the Rfam family "Bacterial small subunit ribosomal RNA", at positions 28 to 507 of the family's 1533-position model. The record is from RNAcentral.